This 497-nucleotide ribosomal RNA is filed under the name uncultured bacterium. RNAcentral's name for it is "partial 16S ribosomal RNA". It matches the Rfam family "Bacterial small subunit ribosomal RNA", at positions 28 to 507 of the family's 1533-position model. The record is from RNAcentral.
GACGAACGCUGGCGGCGUGCCUAAUACAUGCAAGUUGAGCGAUGAAGCUUGGUGCUUGCACCAAUUUGAAGAGCAGCGCACGGGUGAGUAACGCGUGGGGAAUCUGCCUUUGAGCGGGGGACAACAUUUGGAAACGAAUGCUAAUACCGCAUAACAACUUUAAACAUAAGUUUUAAGUUUGAAAGAUGCAAUUGCAUCACUCAAAGAUGAUCCCGCGUUGUAUUAGCUAGUUGGUGAGGUAAAGGCUCACCAAGGCGAUGAUACAUAGCCGACCUGAGAGGGUGAUCGGCCACAUUGGGACGGAGACACGGCCCAAACUCCUACGGGAGGCAGCAGUAGGGAAUCUUCGGCAAUGGACGAAAGUCUGACCGAGCAACGCCGCGUGAGUGAAGAAGGUUUUCGGAUCGUAAAACUCUGUUGGUAGAGAGGAACGUUGGUGAGAGUGGAAAGCUCAUCAAGUGACGGUAACUACCCAGAAAGGGACGGCUAACUACGUG